CAAGCUCCCUCUCUUGCCUGCCACCAUGUAAGAAGUCCCUUUGGUCUUCCUUUGUCUUCUGCCGUGAUUGUGAGGCCUCCCCAGCCAUGUGGAACUGUGAGUCCAUUAAUCUCUUGCCUUUAUAAAUUACCCAGUCUCAGAUAUGUCUUUAAUAGCAGUGUGAGAACAGACUAAUACGAAGCCCUAGUGGAAACAAUAGACAACAUGAAGGCACAGGUGGGUAAUGUAAGCACAGAGAUGAAAACCCUAAGAAAGAAUCAAAAGGAAAUGCUAGAAAUAAAAAAACAUUGUGACAGAAAUGAAGAAAUGAAGAAUGUAUUUAAAGGCUCAUCAGCAGGUUGGAAAUGUCUGGGGAAAGAAUUAAUGAGCUUGGUGAUAGGUCAACAGAAACUUUCCAAACUGGAAGGCAAAGAGAAAAAAAGAAUGGGAAAAAUAACGAAAUAUCCAAGAAGUGUAUAAUCAUUACAAAAGGUGUAACAUAUACAUAAUGGGAAUACUAAAAGGAAAAGAAAGAGAAAGAAGAACAGAAGAAAUAUUUGAAGUAAUAAUAGCUCAGAAUUUUCUGAAAUUAUUGAAACACAUCAAAACACAGAUCCAGGAAGGUUAGACAACACCAAGCAAGACAAAUCCAAAAAAUCGACAUCUAGGCAUUUCACAUUCAAACUGCAGAAAAUCAAAAGCUAAGAGAAAAUCUUGAAAGAAAUGAGAGAGUUGGGGGAAGCAUUACCUAUAAAGCAACAAGGAUAAGAAUUACAUCAGACUUCUCAUCGGGGACCAUGCAAGCAAGAAGAGAAUAAAGUGAAAUAUUGAAAGUGUUGAAAGAAAAAUAAAGAAAAACACAAGCUUAAAAUUCUUCAUCCAGUGAAGUUAUCCUUCUAAAGUGAAGAAGGAAAAAAAGACUUUCUCAGACAAAAACUGAGGUAAUUUGUUGCCAGUAGACUUGCCUUGCACGAAAUACUCAAAUAAGUUCCUCAGAGAGAAGGAAAUUGAUAUAGGUCAGAAAUUCAGAUCUGAUCUGAAGCAUCAACUGGAAGCUUGUUAGAAAUGUAGAAUCUCAGAUCUCACCCCAGAAUGGACUAUGGACUCAGAAUCUGCAUUUUAAUAAGAUUCACAAUUCACAGUAUAAAAUAAUAAGAUGGCUGAUCCUGCAAAGAGGCGCGGUGACAUCAACAGUGACUCAGUCUCUAUGAUGGUAUUAGUAACUGGCAGCUGACUCUCCUAUUUAUCAUCAAGUUAUGUUCCAAAUAAGACUUUCAAGUCUGAGAAAAAUGACAAAUCCCUUCCAGGCAUGGUUCAAGUUAAAGCUGAAACUGUGUCUUCGUUUCAGCUCAAGAGAGGUUUUGAUUGUGUCGUGGCUUUUCCUUGUGUAUUGGUUGAGGAACUGUGCCUUGGAGGGGCGGGGAGUCUUGAGAAUGGGUCAACUGAUGGAGGGGGAGUGGAAGACAUUGGUUGCCCAAGAAAAUAUGUCAACAUCUGUCCAUCACUGCAACUCCGGCCUGAUUAUCAUUUUUUCUGCUUCUGUAAGCACCAAUGAGACAAUGCCACUGAACCACAUUCUUUGUUGCCUGCAGUAUUUCCCACCACUGCGCCACCUCUGAUAUGCUAAUGAGGAAGCCCAGGGUUUUGUGUGGCUGAAAAGCCUUUCAGGCACAAUCAGUGGGUCAACAAUCUCAACUCUGUACAGCGGCUCAGCCUGCUCUGUGAGAGGCUCCUCUUUCGGAGGGGUCCUUCCUCACACCUUUUCUGUGAGUGCGUCUGUGCUUAAGGAAGGGCAAUUAACCAUCUGGCUGCUUGUCCCCUGGAGAAAUUGACAGAACAUCAAACAGAAUAAACUCAUACCUUGAAAACUGCCAAGUGGCACAUGACUGUCCGGUUCACUGUGGGGAGAAGCCACUAACCAAUGGUCUGAAUCUAAAAAUGACCCAGUGGCACCGGUUUGUAGUAAAACUUUGAAGAUAGAACUCCAUGCAAAUUCUGACUCCAUAGUGCUGGUUCUUGAUGUAAAUCUCCCAAUGUAACUGUCAAGGUUUAAAAAUAUCUUACGUAGGUGUUCAGAAUCAUAAGGUCAUAGAAUUAUAAAAUGUUAACCGGCAGAAGUAUUUUCAUCUUUGUCAUACGAAAAAGAGUAAUUUGCUCAUAAUAAGCCUUCAAUAUUUAUGUAUUGGAUUGCAAUUAACAGGAAUCAAAGGAAUCUUAUAAGGAUCAUUUAUCUAGAAUAAUCUCUAUUUUCUAGAAUUACUUAAUGAUCAUUGUCUUUAUUCAGCCUAAGUAACAUUGAAAUUUUUCUUCAUUCAAAUAAAUUCAUACUCAUGAAGCCUUUCCCCACUUUUCAUUUCAUAUUCUGUUUCUACUAGUAUUGUUAACCAUUGCAAAGAAAUACUGUUGCCCUCCAUUAAAACCUGAACUGCCU
RNAcentral lists this long non-coding RNA (2410 nucleotides) under Homo sapiens (human). RNAcentral's name for it is "non-protein coding LINC02154:6". The record is from RNAcentral. Lineage: Eukaryota; Metazoa; Chordata; Mammalia; Primates; Hominidae.